UACGUAGGUGGCAAGCGUUUACUCGGAAUCACUAGGCGUAAAGCGCGGGUAGGCGGUUGGGUAAGUCUCUUGUGAAAGCUCCCGGCUUAACUGGGAGAGGUCAAGGGAAACUACCUGGCUAGAGUGCGGUAGAGGAAGCUGGAAUUCCUGGUGUAGCGGUGAAAUGCGUAGAUAUCAGGAGGAACACCUAUGGCGAAAGCAGGCUUCUGGACCGUCACUGACGCUGAUCCGCGAAAGCCUAGGGGAGCAAACAGG
Molecule: ribosomal RNA, 255 nt
Filed under: uncultured bacterium
Lineage: Bacteria
Description: partial 16S ribosomal RNA
Rfam family: Bacterial small subunit ribosomal RNA
Source: RNAcentral